AUUGAACGCUGGCGGCAGGCCUAAUACAUGCAAGUCGAACGGUAACAUAAGAAAAGCUUGCUUUUCUUGAUGACGAGUGGCGGACGGGUGAGUAAGAUUUGGGAAACUACCUGAUAGAGGGGGACAACAGUUGGAAACGACUGCUAAUACCGCAUACAACCUCAGGGUGAAAGAAGAAAUUCGCUAUCAGAUGUGCCCAAACGGGAUUAGCUAGUAGGUGAGGUAAAGGCUCACCUAGGCGACGAUCUCUAGCUGGUCUGAGAGGAUGAUCAGCCACAUUGGGACUGAGACACGGCCCAGACUCCUACGGGAGGCAGCAGUAGGGAAUAUUGCACAAUGGAGGAAACUCUGAUGCAGCCAUGCCGCGUGUGUGAAGAAGGCCUUCGGGUUGUAAAGCACUUUCGGAGGGGAGGAAAAAAAUGACGUUACCCUCAGAAGAAGCACCGGCUAACUCCGUGCCAGCAGCCGCGGCAAUACGGAGGGUGCAAGCGUUAAUCGGAAUAACUGGGCGUAAAGGGCAUGCAGGCGGUUCAUCAAGUAGGAUGUGAAAUCCCCGGGCUCAACCUGGGAACAGCAUACUAAACUGGUGGACUAGAGUAUUGCAGGGGGAGACGGAAUUCCAGGUGUAGCGGUGGAAUGCGUAGAUAUCUGGAAGAACACCAAAGGCGAAGGCAGUCUCCUGGGCAAAUACUGACGCUCAUAUGCGAAAGGCGUGGGUAGCAAACAGG
RNAcentral lists this ribosomal RNA (728 nucleotides) under uncultured bacterium. RNAcentral describes it as "bacterial SSU rRNA". It matches the Rfam family "Bacterial small subunit ribosomal RNA", at positions 28 to 776 of the family's 1533-position model. The record is from RNAcentral.